Long non-coding RNA from Gallus gallus (chicken), 1365 nucleotides. The record is from Ensembl. NCBI's taxonomy places the organism in Eukaryota, Metazoa, Chordata, Aves, Galliformes, Phasianidae.
CUCGGUCCUCCAGCCCCCCACCUCGGUCCUCCAGCCUCACUUCCAAGUCCUCCAGCCCCCCACCUCGGUCCUCCAGCCCCCCAACUCGGUCCUCCAGCCCCCCAGCUCACCUUGCUAUAGAGCUGCGCGGCCGCCAUGGCCGCCUCGUCGCUAUGGGGCGGAGUUGUGGGGCGGAGCUCCGCCCCAUAGCAACGCGGCCCCAUAGAGGGCAAUGGGGGGAUGGGAGUGGAGCCGCUCCCUAUGGGGAAAGGUCCCGGCACGGCCAUAAUGGGGUCCUAUGGGGUCCUUAUGGGGUUUUAUGGGGUCCAAUGGGGUCUUAUGGGGCUCUAUGAGGUCUUAUGGGGUUCUAGGGGGUCCUUAUGGGGUCCCUAUGGGGUCUUUAUGGGGUCCUAUGGGGUCUUAUGGGGUCCUAUGGGGUCUUUAUGGGGUCCUAUGGGGGCUUAAAGGGGUUCUAUGGGGUCCUAUGGGGCUCUAUGGGGGCUUAAAGUGGUCUUUAUGGGGUCUUUAUGGGGUCCUAUGGGGUCCUUAUGGGGUUUUAUGGGGUCCAAUGGGGUCCUAUGGGGCUCUAUGAGGUCUUAUGGGGUUCUAUGGGGUCCUUAUGGGGUCCUUACGGGAUCCAGAGAGUUUAUAGGGUCAUUAAUGAGUCCCUAUGCGUCCCUCUCAGACCCCAUAAGGACCCCAUAAAGACCCUAUAAGCCCUCUCAGACCCCAUAAGGACCCCAUAGAACCCCAUAGAGACCCUAUAGGACCCCAUAAAGACCCUAUAAACCCUCUCAGACCCCAUAAGAUCCCAUAGAAACCCUAUAGGACCCCAUAAAGACCCUAUAAACCCUCUCAGACCCCAUAAGGACCCCAUAAGACCCUAUAGGACCCCACAGAGAUCCUAUAAACCCUUUUAGACUCCUUAAGGACCCUAUAGGACCCCAUAGAGACCCCAUAGAGACCCUAUAAGCCCUCUUAGACCCCAUAGGACCCCAUAAGGACCCUAUAAGCCCUCUCAGACCCCAUAAGGACCCCAUAAGGACCCCAUAAACUCUCUCAGAUCCCAUAAAGACCCCAUAAGACCCCAUAGAGACUCCAUAAGGACCCCAUAAAACCCCAUAAAGACCCUAUAAGCCCUCUCAGACCCCAUAAGGAGCCCAAUAGCAACCCCAUAGGACCCCAUAACGACCCUAUAAGCCCUCUCAGACCCCAUAAGACCCCAUAGAAACCCUAUAGGACCCCAUAAAGACCCCACAAGCCCUCUCAGACCCCAUAAGACCCCAUAGAGACCCUAUAGGACCCCAUAAAGACCCUAUAAGCCCUCUCAGACCCCAUAGAGACCCCAGAAGACCCUAUAAACCCUCUCAGACCCCAUAAGGACCC